GAUGAACGCUGGCGGCGUGCCUAAUACAUGCAAGUCGAGCGAACGGACGAGAAGCUUGCUUCUCUGAUGUUAGCGGCGGACGGGUGAGUAACACGUGGAUAACCUACCUAUAAGACUGGGAUAACUUCGGGAAACCGGCGCUAAUACCGGAUAAUAUUUUGAACCGCAUGGUUCAAAAGUAAAAGACGGUCUUGCUGUCACUUAUAGAUGGAUCCGCGCUGCAUUAGCUAGUUGGUAAGGUAACGGCUUACCAAUGCAACGAUGCAUAGCCGACCUGAGAGGGUGAUAGGCCACACUGGAACUGAGACACGGUCCAGACUCCUACGGGAGGCAGCAGUAGGGAAUCUUCCGCAAUGGGCGAAAGCCUGACGGAGCAACGCCGCGUGAGUGAUGAAGGUCUUCGGAUCGUAAAGCUCUGUUAUUAGGGAAGAACAUAUGUGUAAGUAACUGUGCACAUCUUGACGGUACCUAAUCAGAAAGCCACGGCUAACUACGUG
This 497-nucleotide ribosomal RNA is filed under the name uncultured bacterium. Its description in RNAcentral is "partial 16S ribosomal RNA". It matches the Rfam family "Bacterial small subunit ribosomal RNA", at positions 28 to 507 of the family's 1533-position model. The record is from RNAcentral.